RNAcentral lists this ribosomal RNA (253 nucleotides) under uncultured bacterium. RNAcentral's name for it is "partial 16S ribosomal RNA". It matches the Rfam family "Bacterial small subunit ribosomal RNA", at positions 524 to 776 of the family's 1533-position model. The record is from RNAcentral.
UACGUAGGGUGCGAGCGUUAAUCGGAAUUACUGGGCGUAAAGCGUGCGCAGGCGGUUUUGUAAGCCAGGUGUGAAAUCCCCGGGCUCAACCCGGGAAUGGCAUUUGGGACUGCAAGGCUGGAGUGCGGCAGAGGAGACUGGAAUUCCUGGUGUAGCAGUGAAAUGCGUAGAUAUCAGGAGGAACACCGAUGGCGAAGGCAGGUCUCUGGGCUGACACUGACGCUCAUGCACGAAAGCGUGGGGAGCAAACAGG